AGUGAACGCUGGCGGUAGGCCUAACACAUGCAAGUCGAACGGCAGCACAGUAAGAGCUUGCUCUUACGGGUGGCGAGUGGCGGACGGGUGAGGAAUACAUCGGAAUCUACUUUUUCGUGGGGGAUAACGUAGGGAAACUUACGCUAAUACCGCAUACGACCUACGGGUGAAAGCAGGGGAUCUUCGGACCUUGCGCGAUUGAAUGAGCCGAUGUCGGAUUAGCUAGUUGGCGGGGUAAAGGCCCACCAAGGCGACGAUCCGUAGCUGGUCUGAGAGGAUGAUCAGCCACACUGGAACUGAGACACGGUCCAGACUCCUACGGGAGGCAGCAGUGGGGAAUAUUGGACAGUGGGCGCAAGCCUGAUCCAGCCAUACCGCGUGGGUGAAGAAGGCCUUCGGGUUGUGAAGCCCUUUUGUUGGGAAAGAAAAGCAGCAGGUUAAUACCCCGCUGUUCUGACGGUACCCAAAGAAUAAGCACCGGCUAACUUCGUG
This 492-nucleotide ribosomal RNA is filed under the name uncultured bacterium. Its description in RNAcentral is "partial 16S ribosomal RNA". It matches the Rfam family "Bacterial small subunit ribosomal RNA", at positions 29 to 507 of the family's 1533-position model. The record is from RNAcentral.